GAGCCUGAGAAACGGCUACCACAUCUAAGGAAGGCAGCAGGCGCGUAAAUUACCCAAUCCCGACUCGGGGAGGUAGUGACAAGAAAUAACGGACCGGGACUUUCGGGUUCCGGGAUUGCAAUGAGCCGAAUUUACACCCCUUAGCGAGGAUCGAUUGGAGGGCAAGUC
Molecule: ribosomal RNA, 168 nt
Filed under: Pelagostrombidium fallax
Lineage: Eukaryota; Ciliophora; Spirotrichea; Strombidiidae
Description: partial small subunit ribosomal RNA
Rfam family: Eukaryotic small subunit ribosomal RNA
Source: RNAcentral